Molecule: ribosomal RNA, 166 nt
Filed under: Cyclothone kobayashii
Lineage: Eukaryota; Metazoa; Chordata; Actinopteri; Stomiiformes; Gonostomatidae
Description: partial 12S rRNA
Source: RNAcentral
UACCGCGGUUAUACGAAAAGCCCUAGCUGAUAGGCCUCCGGCACAAAGGGUGGUUAAGAAAACCCCACAUAAAGCCAAACUUGCCCCCAGCUGUGAUACGCAGCCCACGAGCGAAGACCACUACAAAAGUAGCUUUAUUUUCUCUGAAGCCACGAAAGCCAGGACA